UGAGGAACAUGACCUUCGGCGGGGGAUAGCCGGCCCAACGGCCGGGUAAUACCGCGUACGACCACAUGGGGACAUCCCUGAGUGGUGAAAGCAGCAACGCGCCGAUGGAGUGCCUCGCGGCCUAUCAGCUAGUUGGUGAGGUAACGGCUCACCAAGGCGACGACGGGUAGCUGGUCUGAGAGGAUGGCCAGCCACAUUGGGACUGAGACACGGCCCAGACCUCCCGUAAGGGGACGG
RNAcentral lists this ribosomal RNA (237 nucleotides) under uncultured bacterium. RNAcentral's name for it is "partial 16S ribosomal RNA". It matches the Rfam family "Bacterial small subunit ribosomal RNA", at positions 118 to 348 of the family's 1533-position model. The record is from RNAcentral.